GAUGAACGCUGGCGGCGUGCUUAACACAUGCAAGUCGAACGGAAAGGCCCAAGCUUGCUUGGGUGCUCGAGUGGCGAACGGGUGAGUAACACGUGGGUGAUCUGCCCUGCACUUUGGGAUAAGCCUGGGAAACUGGGUCUAAUACCGGAUAGGACCAUCGUUUAGUGUCGGUGGUGGAAAGUUUUUCGGUGUGGGAUGAGCUCGCGGCCUAUCAGCUUGUUGGUGGGGUAAUGGCCUACCAAGGCGUCGACGGGUAGCCGGCCUGAGAGGGUGUACGGCCACAUUGGGACUGAGAUACGGCCCAGACUCCUACGGGAGGCAGCAGUGGGGAAUAUUGCACAAUGGGCGCAAGCCUGAUGCAGCGACGCCGCGUGGGGGAUGACGGCCUUCGGGUUGUAAACUCCUUUCGCCAAGGACGAAGCGUUUUGUGACGGUACUUGGUGAAGAAGCACCGGCUAACUACGUG
Molecule: ribosomal RNA, 466 nt
Filed under: uncultured bacterium
Lineage: Bacteria
Description: partial 16S ribosomal RNA
Rfam family: Bacterial small subunit ribosomal RNA
Source: RNAcentral